This is a long non-coding RNA of Pomacea canaliculata, 4045 nucleotides long. RefSeq lists it as uncharacterized. The transcript has 3 exons. NCBI's taxonomy places the organism in Eukaryota, Metazoa, Mollusca, Gastropoda, Architaenioglossa, Ampullariidae. The record is from RefSeq and is a predicted model, not a curated record.
CAGAAUGAGGCUUAAAGUAGAGUAUCUAACAAGAUACAAGGACCACACUUCAUGUGCUUGUGGGGAUGGAUUAAGCACCACACAUGGGCUGUUAGAGUGUAAUGAAAACAACUUAGACAGGGAAGAACUAAAACACUUCUUACACAAAUAUAGACUGGCACUAAACCUUAACAGCUGCCUCAACCCUCCAAAAGAGCUGUGGCACAAUGCACUGUCAUUAGUGGCAUCAGUAGCAACAAGCCACAAACUCUAGACUAAUCUGUUAGACAAAAGAUAACUAGAUUAAAAAGAGAGAUGUACACCCACAGGAAGGAGACGCUAAGCCGUAUAAAACUAAGACUAACAAGAACAAACUGAAAGCAUACACCACCACGGCAGAACACACAGGCAUAGUUAGAAAGUACCAGCAAAGGAAAACGAAAGGGCAGCAGCACAGUGCACCACCCAAACAGACGGCAAACAUAAUCACCAACAGAAAAAGAGAGCACAAACAAAAUGGACAAUACAUGAGGCGGCACAAGACAGCGACACACACACACACAGUGCCAAAUCACCGUGAGGGGGAAGCACUUUCCCUUAAAAAAAAUCAACAACAACGACGACGACGAGAGGAGAGAGAGCAGCCUGAGAGAAGGACGCGGCGAGUCAUCGCCAACCAAUCAGCCCGGUUGACGGAGUCUGUGCUCGGACCUACGUUCUGUCUUAGAUAAAUCCUUCAGGUGGCCAGCAGGCUGUCACCACCAUCAAGAGCUUCCAACAGCCUACGGACACGCGUUCAAGCAUUAUUUACAGAGUGAACGCGAGUGUCAGCCGUGUGGUAGGUCACCGUCUGGGGGCUACCAUAAGGCGAUCGCUUGACUGAAGCAACAUCACAACACAGGCCAUGCCAACCAAGAACAAGACAGCAAACACAACGGCGGCAACCCUGUUCUAUAACUUCACUGCGCACUACGGGAUGCCCUGCCGGCUGUACUCCGAUCAAGGUGCUAAUUUUGAAAGUCGUAUGAUCAAAGAAUUGUGCCUGAUAACGGGAUUGCAUAAAUCUCGGACUACCCCAUACCACCCUAGGGUUCAAUCGCACAUUGCUCAUGGAAACAUAGUGCGUGUGGACGUGUUGUGUGUCUUGCUCUGGUGACAGCCGCGUCCGUGACACGGGCCCAGAGAAUGUUACUUGUACAACCGCCACUGAUAUUGUGCAAACAGUUCACCUGCCUGUAAACUCCUGUGAAUUGAUAGGCUUUUCUGACCAGUUUGCUUUGCUUCAGUGAAACAUGGCUUACUGAUAAUGAUUCUAACUCGGCGAUGGAACUGGAGAAUUUUUUGUUUGUCAGACUGGAUAGAGACCCUCGUUCUACUGGAAAGAGGAAGGGAGGCGGUGUGUGCGUGUAUGUCAACCAACAGUGGUCUGAUCCUAACAAUGUAUCGGUCAAGGAGAGAGUUUGUGUACCUGACGUUGAGCUGCUGUGUGUAGGCCUGCGGCCUUACUAUCUGCCGCGUGAAUACAGCCACGUGAUUCUUUGUGUUGUUUACAUCCAUCCGGCGGCCAUCGAAAAGACGGCGUCGGAAACUGUGGCCACGGUGAUAUCCAGUCAGCAGUUAAAGUCGCCUGACGUGCUGUGUUUGAUAACUGGGGAUUUUAAUCAUUGUAAUUUGAAGAAAACCUUGCCUACUUUUUAUCGUUUGGUGGACAGGUGUUAUUGCAGUAAUCUCCCCAGUACUUCUCACGGCAACCUGUUCACGGAACAUGCAUGGCUUUGAGAGACAGCGCGUCUUGACAGACAACUACAAAGACUUUAAGGUGGUCAACAGGUCGAACACACACAGAAAGCAAAAUAAAGAAUACCAAGUAGAGUACAGAUACACCAGCUUUCCUCCACUGCCUCAAAUAUACAUGAAAAUCACCAUCCCCUCUCACUCGUCAAAAACCAUCCAAAGUACAUUUCUAACUGGUCAGUCCUGUACCAAGAAAAGGAGCGCCGCUCUGGAACUCGGCACAUAUUCCAUCAUGAUCUGCGUAGCUGUCACACACAAUGCUACACCAUAAUACACACUCCAAACUGCUAUUGCCAACGCUGGGGUCGCGGAACAACACUUCAGGACGUCGACGGACUGAACUCCGUGAUAAAAAUCAUUAGCAAAUCAAGAUGGCCAUGAGUAAUGUUCAACCAUACCAAUUUGAACCACUUGCAUCAGCUGACAAUGUCAUCGACUGCACAUCCUCGGAGGACGAGGAAAACGUUGCAGCAGUCGAAGGACAAAGCAGGUAGGACUACACAUGUAUAUAAGUAAGUCAUAUUGUGUGCACGGGAACAGAAAGUGAACGCAAGCUUUACCUUCAAGCACUUUAAAAUAAACAUAAUGCACUCGAACUCUUUACACUGCGCAUUGUUGUUGACCAAUUCACUUCGUAGUGUAUUUAAAAAGUAAAAUUACAUUUGGCGUGCUAAUUAUUUCCUCUCACACUGUCAUGAACCAGCCUGGUUCAAGGCCCGAACAACAGGCCGAAGCGGGUGUAGAUAAUUAUAGGUGGGCCGUGGUCAGUGAAAGAGGACAGUGGAGGGAAGCCUUUCUGUCCGUUUUUACGACUUGACAGGUCGCCCACAUUGAUGAAGGCGAUCGAGGCCCAGGGUUAGGGAGUGUAAGAUGUAGUAGUAGGGGAAUAGCGCGGUGGUCAGUAGUGGCCUUACCAUUAGAGCGAUAGCGUCAGAACCGGGUUCUGAACCGAGUAGUCACGUGCCCUCGUAGUAUAUAGUUAGGGUUAGAUGGUUAGUCGGGGCUUUCCACCUUGUGUUCCAGCAGAGACGUCUGUUUCUGAGUGUUAUUCAGUUGCAGGCAGCACGUCUGAGACAGGGAAGCUCGUUCAGUCAGAACGUAUCACUACCUGCUGGCACUUGCGAUCUGGUUGUAGAAGAAAGGAGGGUGUGUGCUGUGACCAAGAGGCUGAUUCUCCCAACGACAAGUGAGGGAGUUAACUGUGUCCGGCAGCGAGAAGUGCGAGGCAGCGGCUGGCAGAUCCCACCGUGCCACCGGUCCAGUGUGGUCAUCUACAGAACAACAUACAAGCCAUCUCUGCUACGAGUAUCGUCGCUGCAUCCAUUGCCUGGGGCAACUGUGGUGGGACAGUGACAAGAAGUCAUCUAGAAGACCAGGUGCAUGCAGGCAGCUGCACCCAUCUUCAGGAAACAACGCCGUUCAGUCAGAAGGCAUCUCUACUCCGAGCAUCGUCGCUGAAUCCAUUGCCUGGGGCAACUGUGGUGGGACAGUGGUAAGAAAUCAUCUAGAAGACAAGGUGCAUGCAGCCAGCUGCACUCAUCUCCAAGAAACAAAGAGCAAGGUAGCCGAGUGGUACCCCCAGUACCAAGGUUGUUCUGUGAGAGAACUGUCCAAAGACUGGUGAAGUGUGUUUUAUCUCAUUUACAUUCUUCACAUUCUUACAUUUUGUGACCUGAUAAUAAUUAGUGUAUUUGGAGACUCAUAUUACGUCUCGUGUGUGCCAAACUAAUUUGCUUUGUUGAUUUUUGAUUAUAAAUUUACAAUCUGUACAACUGUCUCGUCAGUUGUGUCUGCGCACGCGAGGAGAGCGACUGUCAAGUGAGCGUGUGGACGUGUGAACGGGCGGGUGACGGAGUGUGAGGGUGAGAGAGGGCGGAGCGAGCCAGCCAGAGUGACCCCUUUCCCCUCGGGCGAGUGAGGCCCAUCCCUCUACAGCCGCCUUCGUCAUCAUCACACACACACACACCGGAAUAUUCACAUUGUAUAUGAUAAUUUAGGUUUUGAAGUGAACUUUCCAAAGGAUAGUUUCAACAAUUAAUAUUUCGAAAUAUCUGUGUUUAAAUAUUUUAAAUAGACAAUAUUUGCAGCCUUUUAGGGGUAUAGUUUGAAUAAUUUCACUAAUGACUUUAUAACAACGAUGCAUAGAAUUCAAGCAGAGACGUUUGCUUUAUAUGUUAUUAUGUCUGUGCUUUUAACUUAUAACUUCUGUUACUCUUGAACUGGCUAAUGUACCUGUUUUGAUUUGAUUUUACUUUUCUCAAAAAGCAAUAAA